RNAcentral lists this ribosomal RNA (450 nucleotides) under uncultured bacterium. RNAcentral describes it as "bacterial SSU rRNA". It matches the Rfam family "Bacterial small subunit ribosomal RNA", at positions 354 to 796 of the family's 1533-position model. The record is from RNAcentral.
GUGGGGAAUAUUGGACAAUGGGCGAAAGCCUGAUCCAGCCAUGCCGCGUGUGUGAAGAAGGUCUUCGGAUUGUAAAGCACUUUAAGUUGGGAGGAAGGGCAGUAAGUUAAUACCUUGCUGUUUUGACGUUACCGACAGAAUAAGCACCGGCUAACUUCGUGCCAGCAGCCGCGGUAAUACGAAGGGUGCAAGCGUUAAUCGGAAUUACUGGGCGUAAAGCGCGCGUAGGUGGUGUUGUAAGUUGGAGGUGAAAUCCCCGGGCUCAACCUGGGAACUGCCUCCAAAACUGCAUGACUAGAGUACGGUAGAGGGUAGUGGAAUUUCCUGUGUAGCGGUGAAAUGCGUAGAUAUAGGAAGGAACACCAGUGGCGAAGGCGACUACCUGGACUGAUACUGACACUGAGGUGCGAAAGCGUGGGGAGCAAACAGGAUUAGAAACCCUUGUAGUCC